AGUGAACGCUGGCGGUAGGCUUAACACAUGCGAGUCGAACGGCAGCACAGUAAGAGCUUGCUCUUACGGGUGGAGAGUGGCGGACGGGUGAGGAAUAUAUCGGAAUCUACUUUUUCGUGGGGGAUAACGUCGGGAAACUUACGCUAAUACCGCAUACGACCUACGGGUGAAAGCAGGGGAUCUUCGGACCUUGCGCGAUUGAAUGAGCCGAUGUCGGAUUCGCUAGUUGGCGGGGUAAAGGCCCACCAAGGCGACGAUCCGUAGCUGGUCUGAGAGGAUGAUCAGCCACACUGGAACUGAGACACGGUCCAGACUCCUACGGGAGGCAGCAGUGGGGAAUAUUGGACAAUGGGCGCAAGCCUGAUCCAGCCAUACCGCGUGGAUGAAGAAGGCCUUCGGGUUGUAAAGCCCUUUUGUUGGGAAAGAAAAGCAGCAGGUUAAUACCCCGCUGUUCUGACGGUACCCAAAGAAUAAGCACCGGCUAACUUCGUG
This 492-nucleotide ribosomal RNA is filed under the name uncultured bacterium. RNAcentral's name for it is "partial 16S ribosomal RNA". It matches the Rfam family "Bacterial small subunit ribosomal RNA", at positions 29 to 507 of the family's 1533-position model. The record is from RNAcentral.